AGUCGAACGGCAGCGCGGGGCAACCUGGCGGCGAGUGGCGAACGGGUGAGUAAUAUAUCGGAACGUACCCUGGAGUGGGGGAUAACGUAGCGAAAGUUACGCUAAUACCGCAUACGAUCUAAGGAUGAAAGUGGGGGAUUCGCAAGAACCUCAUGCUCCUGGAGCGGCCGAUAUCUGAUUAGCUAGUUGGUAGGGUAAAAGCCUACCAAGGCUUCGAUCAGUAGCUGGUCUGAGAGGACGACCAGCCACACUGGAACUGAGACACGGUCCAGACUCCUACGGGAGGCAGCAGUGGGGAAUUUUGGACAAUGGGCGCAAGCCUGAUCCAGCAAUGCCGCGUGAGUGAAGAAGGCCUUCGGGUUGUAAAGCUCUUUUGUCAGGGAAGAAACGGUGAGGGCUAAUAUCCCUUGCUAAUGACGGUACCUGAAGAAUAAGCACCGGCUAACUACGUGCCAGCAGCCGCGGUAAUACGUAGGGUGCAAGCGUUAAUCGGAAUUACUGGGCGUAAAGCGUGCGCAGGCGGUUUUGUAAGUUUGUCGUGAAAGCCCCGGGCUCAACCUGGGAAUUGCGAUGAAGACUGCAAGGCUUGAAUCUGGCAGAGGGGGGUAGAAUUCCACGUGUAGCAGUGAAAUGCGUAGAGAUGUGGAGGAACACCGAUGGCGAAGGCAGCCCCCUGGGUCAAGAUUGACGCUCAUGCACGAAAGCGUGGGGAGCAAACAGGAUUAGAUACCCUGGUAGUCCACGCCCUAAACGAUGUCUACUAGUUGUCGGGUUUUAAUUAACUUGGUAACGCAGCUAACGCGUAAAGUAGACCGCCUGGGGAGUACGGUCGCAAGAUUAAAACUCAAAGGAAUUGAC
Molecule: ribosomal RNA, 858 nt
Filed under: uncultured bacterium
Lineage: Bacteria
Description: bacterial SSU rRNA
Rfam family: Bacterial small subunit ribosomal RNA
Source: RNAcentral